UACGUAGGGCGCAAGCGUUGUCCGGAAUUAUUGGGCGUAAAGAGCUCGUAGGCGGUCUGUCGCGUCGGCUGUGAAAACCCGAGGCUCAACCUCGGGCCUGCAGUCGAUACGGGCAGACUAGAGUGCUGUAGGGGAGACUGGAAUUCCUGGUGUAGCGGUGAAAUGCGCAGAUAUCAGGAGGAACACCGGUGGCGAAGGCGGGUCUCUGGGCAGUAACUGACGCUGAGGAGCGAAAGCGUGGGGGAGCGAACAGG
This 254-nucleotide ribosomal RNA is filed under the name uncultured bacterium. RNAcentral's name for it is "partial 16S ribosomal RNA". It matches the Rfam family "Bacterial small subunit ribosomal RNA", at positions 524 to 776 of the family's 1533-position model. The record is from RNAcentral.